Molecule: transfer RNA, 63 nt
Filed under: Attagenus augustatus augustatus
Lineage: Eukaryota; Metazoa; Arthropoda; Insecta; Coleoptera; Dermestidae
Description: tRNA-Pro
Source: RNAcentral
CAGGGAAUAGUUUAUAUAAAAUAUUAAUUUUGGGAUUUAAUGAUGGGGUAUUCCUUUCUCUGA